This 253-nucleotide ribosomal RNA is filed under the name uncultured bacterium. RNAcentral describes it as "partial 16S ribosomal RNA". It matches the Rfam family "Bacterial small subunit ribosomal RNA", at positions 524 to 776 of the family's 1533-position model. The record is from RNAcentral.
UACGUAGGGUGCAAGCGUUGUCCGGAAUUAUUGGGCGUAAAGAGCUCGUAGGCGGUUUGUCGCGUCUGCUGUGAAAACGUGAGGCUCAACCUCGCGCCUGCAGUGGGUACGGGCAGACUAGAGUGCGGUAGGGGAGAUUGGAAUUCCUGGUGUAGCGGUGAAAUGCGCAGAUAUCAGGAGGAACACCGGUGGCGAAGGCGGGUCUCUGGGCAACAACUGACGCUGAGGAGCGAAAGCGUGGGGAGCGAACAGG